AAUCCUGGCUCAGGACGAACGCUGGCGGCGCGCCUAACACAUGCAAGUCGAACGAGAGAGAAGGAGCUUGCUUCUUCGAUCGAGUGGCGAACGGGUGAGUAACGCGUGAGGAACCUGCCUCAAAGAGGGGGACAACAGUUGGAAACGACUGCUAAUACCGCAUAAGCCCACAGGUCGGCAUCGACCAGAGGGAAAAGGAGUAAUCCGCUUUGAGAUGGCCUCGCGUCCGAUUAGCUAGUUGGUGAGGUAA
Molecule: ribosomal RNA, 250 nt
Filed under: uncultured bacterium
Lineage: Bacteria
Description: partial 16S ribosomal RNA
Rfam family: Bacterial small subunit ribosomal RNA
Source: RNAcentral